This 535-nucleotide ribosomal RNA is filed under the name Desulfovibrio sp. enrichment culture clone CIBANICRA-SRB31. Its description in RNAcentral is "bacterial SSU rRNA". It matches the Rfam family "Bacterial small subunit ribosomal RNA", at positions 292 to 817 of the family's 1533-position model. Lineage: Bacteria; Pseudomonadati; Thermodesulfobacteriota; Desulfovibrionia; Desulfovibrionales; Desulfovibrionaceae. The record is from RNAcentral.
UUGAGAGGAUGACCAGCCACACUGGGACUGGAACACGGCCCAGACUCCUACGGGAGGCAGCAGUGGGGAAUAUUGCGCAAUGGGGGAAACCCUGACGCAGCGACGCCAUGUGAGGGAUGAAGGCCUUCGGAUCGUAAACCUCUGUCAUGGGGGAAGAAACUGUUUGAGGCUAAUACCCUCUUUCCCUGACGGUACCUCCAGAGGAAGCACCGGCUAACUCCGUGGCAGCAGCCGCGGUAAUACGGAGGGUGCGAGCGUUAAUCGGAAUCACUGGGCGUAAAGCGCGCGUAGGCGGCGCGAUUAAGUCAGGCGUGAAAGCCCUCGGCUCAACCGGGGAAUUGCGCUUGAAUCUGUCGUGCUUGAGUCGCGGAGAGGGUGGCGGAAUUCCAGGUGUAGGAGUGAAAUCCGUAAAGAUCUGGUCGAACACCAGUGGCAAAGGCAGCCACCUGGACGAGUGCUGACGCUAAGGUGCGAAAGCGUGGGGAGCAAACAGGAUUACAUACCCUGCUAGUCCACGCCGUAAACGAUGAACACU